Molecule: non-coding RNA, 2783 nt
Organism: Oryctolagus cuniculus (rabbit)
Lineage: Eukaryota; Metazoa; Chordata; Mammalia; Lagomorpha; Leporidae
Source: RefSeq, a predicted model, not a curated record
CUGGAUCGGAAGCAGGGUGGUGAGGAUUUGAACUGGCGCUCCGAUACGGGAUGCCAGAGUUGCAGGUGGCGGCUGUGCCACGAUGCUGGCCCCUAACCUCGUCUUUGAGUUCCGUUUUCCGUGCAUGUUUGGAGUCUCCUCGUGAGCACGUCAUCUACUAAAUGGACUGUAAACGCAGCGCGCCCGUGCUCGCAUUCCUCAGCUUUCAGCCCGCACGGUGUUUAUUUGUAGUGGGAGCAGAGCUCUGAGUGUCUGCCAUGAACUCAUUUACAAGCAUUUUUGUCCCUGUUAUGUAAUGCCCUGGAUCGGGUGCUGGCUGUUUGGGUGUUACUGGGGGCAGGGGGUGGUUGUGGAGGAGGAGGAAGAAGACUGGAAAAAGACCUGAACCUCCCCGGGAGCCUCUCUCCGGUUCAGACGCAACAUACACAGAUGACACAACCAGCAAACAAUUGCAAAACAGAAAGAGAGUGUAACGAAACAGCCAUGUGCUGAGAGCUGCAAGCAGCGUGGGCGGCCGCGGAUGGCAGCAAACCGGGUUUGCCAGGAGUCUGGAGGGUCGCCAGGCCCACCGUCUAGGGGCUGGGGGUGGGGUGGGGAAUGUCGAGGAAGGGGCCAGCAUCCGCACCUCCUUGCGGGUACAGCCAGCGUGCCUCCUGCGGCGCUGAGACACGUCUGGCAAUGACCCUCAUGGUGGCAGAGACCCCACUUCUUGUUGCUACCGUGUGGCUGCCACACACCAUCACAUACAAGCCACGUCCAGGUCCCCCACCUCCCCCGGCCCACUGAUGCCUCUACCUGCCCAGACCUAUGUCUUCACCAGGAACUGUUAGGGCAUCCCCCACUGGCACAGCCCUGUCUAGGUUCUGCUGGGUAAGCCCUUGUCCUGCCUCUGCCUUUGUCCCCGAAGGGAGAAAGCUGAGCCCUUGGGUCCCUGCAGCCUUGAGGGCUCCGAGUGCUGGAAGCCAGGCGCGCCGUGCAGAGAACGCGGGUGGCUGGUGCAGUUCUUGCCUGCACAGGCUCUGGCCAACUCCAGGGGGCAGCUGUCCACUCGGGAUGUGCUGUCCUGCAGGGUUGUUCGUCCUGGUCACUGGGCUGGUUACCGAAUGUAGCACCCAAAGCCGGGGGUGUGGGGUGGGGAGGGCUUGAGGGCAGGAGCCGGUUGCUUGGGACAACGAGCGAGGUUCAGAGGGAGGUCCAAGCGGGCCUGUCCAUUGCUGGUAAUUUUUCAAAAGACAAACAGAACGCAAGCGCAUUUAUUCACAACGGGGUAAUGCGAUUGCCACACAAUCUGGAAAUGUUCCGGGAUCAGAGAGUUGCUGAGUGAGGGAGAAACGCAGCUGAAGACAACCAGGCAUCGUAUGAGUCAGCCGGCAGCCGAGGAUUGUGACGGUGAUGGCAGGACACAGUGGUCAGCUCCGUGGUUCAGCUCCAGCUUGGCCGUUGCCCUUCUAGGUGAUGCUGGGCAAAGCGCUUGAGCCCUGCGGUUCCAAUGACCUCGUCCGUAACAUGAGGAGGACAGCGGGGUGGCUGUGAGCCCUGAGUGAGCUCACGAACCCGACAUGCGUAGCUUGCCUGGUCCGGUGCUGGCGGCCCUCAGUCACAGGUGCCCACGGAGCACUUGGAAUGUGAGUUCUUCAAAUUGAGACAUCUCAUCUAAGGCCUGGGAAAGCAGUGGAAGAUGGCCCAAGUCCUUGGGCCCCUGCACCCACAUGGGAGACCCAGAAGAAGCUCCUGGCUCCUGGCUUCCGAUUGGUGCAGCUCCAGCCAUUGCAACCAUUUGAGGAGUGAACCAUCAGAUGGAAGACCUCUCUCUCUCUCUCUCUCUCUCUCUCUCUCUCUCUGCCUCUUGUAACUUUGCCUUUCAAACAAAUAAAUACAUCUUUAAAAAAGAGAGAGAGAUAAUUUCAGGGGUGGGUGUUCUGUGCAACCGUUGAGACACCACUUGGGACAUCUGCACCCCAGAUCGGAGCCUGGUUUGAGCCCUGGUUCUCCUUCCCAUCCCAGCUGUCAGCUAACAUGCACUCUGGGAGGCACAAGGCGCUGGCUCUAGUGGCUGAGUCCCUGCCGGCAUGUGGGAGGUUGGAUUGAGUUCCAGGCUCCUGGUUUAACCUGGCCAAGCUAUGGCUGCUAUGAGCAGGUAGGGAAAUAAACCAGAAGGUCUUGUCUCUGCCAUUGAUAUAAAGUGAAAAUGGAUAAAAAUGUAAAAACAUACAAGAUAAAAGUUGACAUGUGGGCAUUUGUCCUAGUCGUUCAGGUACCACGGAGCUGCCUGCGUCCCAUAUUACAGCGCCUGGAUUUGGGCACCAGUUCUGCUCCUGCUUCCUGCUUGUUGCUAACGCAAUCCCUGGCUGUUGGCUCAAUUUCUUGGGGCCCACCACCCACACGGGAAAUCCAGGACGAAUCCCCAGCUCCUGUCUUUGCCCUCAGCCCAGCCCCCACCAUCAUGGAAUUAGGAGUUAUAAACAAAAUAAAUAAAUUUAUAACAAGACAAUGUUGGGGACCGAUGUUGUGGCAUAGUGGGUAAAGCUGCUGCCUGCAGUACCAGCACCCCACAUGGGUACCGGUUCAAGUCCUGGCCGCUCCACUUCCGAUCCAACUUCCUGCUAAUGGCCUGGGAAAGCAAUGGAAGAGGGCCCAAGUCCUCGGGCCCCAGAAGAAGCUUCUGUCUCCUGGCUUGGGAUCGGCUCAGCUCUGGCCAUUGCGGCUAUUUGGAGAGUGAACCAGCGGAUAGAAGACCUCUCUCUGUUUCUCUCUCUCAUCUCUCUCUCUGCCUCUGCCUUUCC